RNAcentral lists this ribosomal RNA (170 nucleotides) under uncultured marine bacterium SNT7. Its description in RNAcentral is "partial 16S rRNA". It matches the Rfam family "Bacterial small subunit ribosomal RNA", at positions 338 to 525 of the family's 1533-position model. The record is from RNAcentral.
CCUACGGGAGGCAGCAGUGAGGAAUAUUGCACAAUGGGGGAAACCCUGAUGCAGCGACGCCGCGUGAAGGAUGAAGGUUUUCGGAUCGUAAACUUCUAUCAGCAGGGAAGAUAGUGACUGUACCUGACUAAGAAGCCCCGGCUAACUACGUGCCAGCAGCCGCGGUAAUA